This is a long non-coding RNA of Gasterosteus aculeatus aculeatus (three-spined stickleback), 849 nucleotides long. Lineage: Eukaryota; Metazoa; Chordata; Actinopteri; Perciformes; Gasterosteidae. The record is from Ensembl.
GACACGCAAAGAGAAGUGUGAAGCUGACACACGUUGUCCUGCACUUUGUCACGUGACCCCGACUUGUCUCGUGUCUGAGACGCGCCGUCUGCUCAGGGAGGCUGCGGCGCGGCGCCGUCAUUUUCCUUCACUUUCUUUCUUCAUCUUCUUCUUCUUCAUUUACCUCUCGGGAGGAAAAGGCUGCCGUGUCCCAGUCGUCGUGCCCCGCUUAUCAACGAGCUGCAGACAGCCGCUGUUAUCUAACGCCUCUGGAACGACGAUCCAAAUGGCCGAAAGGCACGAUCGAAUCUCCCUUUCACCAAACUUUAUUGACACGAAUCGCUCCUCGGCUGCCUGGCUGCUGAUAAACAAACAACUGCUUCCCCACCAGGCGCCUGCUGCGUGUCGCCUGUUGUUGGCGAGAGUCGAAGAACGGAGGAUGCGUGAGACCAUCGAGCAGCCGCGCCCUCACCCCAUCUGGGAUCACACAGCCGCAGCACAUGCCUUCUGAUUGAUUUAUUCAAGAUUAAUUGUUGCUUUGUCGGCUCAUUGCUUCCAACCGGUUCGCGUCAGAUGUCUGUGCUUUGCACUACAUUUGAACGCGGUGCAAACAAAGGGUCCUCCGCUCGUCUCGUCGCCACGAUGCAGCUACAGGUCGGCGCCAUGAAUUAGGCCACCAAUAAAGACAGACGAGUCUGGCCUCCAAGGCGAUUACAGAUCCAAAAUGAAUCUUUAAGCUUCAGCUAUUUAUGACUCUUGUUUCUUGAAAAUGAUACAAGCUCUCGCUAAUUGGAUUUGAUGGAGUCACAGAAGGGGACACGACUCCUUAAUUCAGUUCAUCUUCUGAAGGGUUCGGGGGAAUGUUGCAGU